CGCACACACAUAAUGAACUAGAUGUUUCCCAUUAAGAUAUGCACAAAUCAACAACCCCCAGUAGCAAUUACAUUGAACAAAGUGAUUAAUUUCCUUAACACAGCUAUAACAAGCAUAUUUGAUCGUUUGCAUUAUCUUUUGCAAUCAAAACUUAAUUACUCAAUGGAUCAUUUUAAACCUAUUUUAAAAUUACCUACUGUUAAUCUUCAAAACUUACUUGAAAUAUCACCCUAAAAAGGGGCCAAAUUGACCUCUAAAUACAAUUUUGGACACCUAAAAAUGGGAAAAGGGAGUAAGUCUCAGAAUAAUAUCCUGGACUCACAUAUUAAAUCCAACUGAAAAAAAAAUGAAAGAGUACCAAUUAGAGCAGCAGUAGCGCCAAGCAAGAGAAAUAGCUCUCCGUAUGAAAUUCCCAGCAUAUCUCUUCUUUCACUUUGUUUCUGUCAUAUGUUUGAAGAGGAACGCGAUAGGAGACCAUAAAAGAAGGACUCGGCCUUACAGGAAAUUUGGUCGGAGAAUUCCUCUGAGAGUAACCUGCCGGUGAGUCGUUUAGAGGAACGCGAUAGGAGAUUGUAAAACAAGGACCCCGCCUUAUCGGAAAUUUGGUCGGAGAAUUCGUCUGAGAGUACCCCGCCGGUGAGUUGUAAGCAUUUAACCAUGCUAGAGACGGUGGACCACUCUGAGGGUAACUGGCUCUCGAUGAACAAAUGAAUUGGAAGAUUUCCAAAAUUGAAGAUGUUGUGAUGAACUUCCAAUAAAUGUGACUUCCUCAGAUUUAUAUUUGAACCUUCUCCUAUUUUAACGAUCGAAAAGAGUAUUAUAAUGUAUGUAAUGAGAUAACACCAACCUUCUCACAUUAAUUUUCUAUCAUACUUGAUCAUAUUAAGCUAGCUAAAAUAUGUUGUUGUAAACACUAUCGUAUUUUCUCCAUCAAUCUAAAAAUAGUGUCUUUUUUAAGGAGUCAAAUCUCGAUUAAAAAAAACAAAUGAUUUGCAUACUCUUAAAUUGUCAUAUGAUGUUAAAUUUAAUCCAUCUUUCGACCGAUUUUUUUCUUUUUUUGCACAAAAACACGAUAAUAUUAACAGGUUUCCUUGAAAAGGUUAAACAAUAAGGUCAUGUUAGAGUUGGAAGUCUUGUAUCUCUGCAUCACCUAUUAACUUUUUUGUUGACUUCUUUUGCCCCAUAUCGUUUAUGAGUCUCUUUCCAUGCGUUAGAGUUUCAAGAGUUUGAUUUUAAUGUAAUUUCUUCGAGAUAGCACUUGUAUCAUUGUAAUUAUGAAAUUUUUUGUUUGACUAAUUGAUUUUAUGUCAGUGUGUGUAGGAUAGGAAAGCCUUGAUAGCGAGGACCGGAGGUCAAGCACUAAGGUUUUAGGAUAAGGUUAGUAAAAAUUUUCUUAUUUCAUAUAGCUCGGCCCUUAGAUUAUGGUUAUUGUUAUUCCAUGUUAUUUAUAUUUUAGUUUUUAUGCUUAUGUUACUAUUACGAUUUCUACUGAAGUAACUCUAUUUUCUUACUUUUUAAAUUUUUUUUCUUUCUUGUUUUUUAUUUUAUUUUCGUCUUUCUGAGCCGGGGAUCUAUCGGAAACAGCCUCUCUGUCUCUAUCGCGGCCGGGGUAAGAUCUGUGUAUACAUUACCUUCCCCAGACCCCACUAUAUGGGAUUUUACUGGGCAGUUGUUCUUGUUCAGUGUGUGUAAUUUAUUUUCAACUUAUGGUUCCAGUUCUUUACUUUGUGCCUCUUAUGGUAGCAACUGAUUGGUAUUAUUGCAUGUCAUUUUAUUAUUGUUUUAUGUUUAGAUAAUUAUUAAUGUUAUUUAUGCUGGAUUUACUAAUAUUGUUUUGUUUUUGUUUGAUUAUCACUCCCUUUCUCUGAGCCAAG
This 1874-nucleotide long non-coding RNA is filed under the name Nicotiana benthamiana. RNAcentral's name for it is "long non-coding RNA (NBEN_LNC013918)". The record is from RNAcentral. Lineage: Eukaryota; Viridiplantae; Streptophyta; Magnoliopsida; Solanales; Solanaceae.